RNAcentral lists this ribosomal RNA (207 nucleotides) under uncultured bacterium. RNAcentral describes it as "partial 16S ribosomal RNA". It matches the Rfam family "Bacterial small subunit ribosomal RNA", at positions 568 to 774 of the family's 1533-position model. The record is from RNAcentral.
AGCGUAGACGGACUGGCAAGUCUGAUGUGAAAGGCGGGGGCUCAACCCCUGGACUGCAUUGGAAACUGUUAGUCUUGAGUGCCGGAGAGGUAAGCGGAAUUCCUAGUGUAGCGGUGAAAUGCGUAGAUAUUAGGAGGAACACCAGUGGCGAAGGCGGCUUACUGGACGGUAACUGACGUUGAGGCGCGAAAGUGUGGGGAGCAAACA